GGCAGUUGAGAUUCAGACCUUGACAGUUGUAACCGAUAGACUGGGCUGGGGCAACGCUGAUGAAAGGCAAAUUCCUGAGAGAAAAAUCACCCAGAUUUUUCAGUGCCUUCUCUAGCUUUCUAGAAGUUGUUAUGAGUGGACCUGACUACCUAGAGAGAGUAAUACAGAAGCUCCGUGCCGAUCACAGCUACCUCAUUACCAUGUUCCUCCAAGAUGGCCGCCCCUGAGGAGAAUCAUCAACUGGGCUUUACGGAAGAGAGAAAUCCAAACGACCAUCAGCAACAAAUGAAAGACUGAAGUUGAAAGGAAAUCCAUAAUUUUUGAAUGCUGGCCGAGGUCUGUGACCUCUGACUGAAUGGUUUCCAAGCUCCGAAUUCCUAGGUGAUGUUUUCAUUUGUUCACACUUGCUGAAGAAGGGAAAGGCUCUCUGAUUUACGUGUAAGCAAAACAAUCUAAACAGUAGGAUAAAAUCAUGUUGGAAUGGAGUUCUGUGUGGAUGCUCCUUUGAACCAAAUCAGUUCCACAACUGACCCUGUCAGGGACAUAUAAAUUUAGCAUUUUGGUGUGGAUACAGAAGACGAGAUUAACACAGAUCAAGUAACAUGGAAAUAAAAAAGGAGACAAUGCUGGAUGAUACAGGGGCAGCCAACAAGAGGAGAAAACCCAAGCAUUGGCAAAUGCCUCAUUAUCCAAAGAACACUGUAAGUCUGUCUUGGCCAUGAUGCUCUUUUCACAUCAUAAUAAUGAACAAUUAUAUAGCACUUAUGAUGUGCCAGGCAGUUCCAAAUCUUUGCAUAUAAUGAGUCAUACAUGAAUGCAUAGAAAAUAGAUGCACAGAUAGAUAAGUGAACUUAAGUUAAUUUGCCAAGGAUUAUUUCCAUUUUUUUUUUUUUUGUAGUAAACUCUACUUUAGAAAUGGCUUAAAGACCCCAUUCAGGUGUCAUUGAAGAAAAACCUCAGUCCUCAAGAACAAAUGGGCAUUUGGUCACCAAGCUAGUACCAGAUGAAAUUAGCCAGGUUAGCAUCCUUUAGGUAGAAAUUGUCAGCUUUCACUUGGUUCAAAUCCAUCGACUACUGAAACUGCUCAGAAAUCACUAAAUUAUUGCUAUAUCAGAAAGUACAUUAAUAUCUUGCAAUGUCAUAGGCUCACCAACAUGAAUAAUAAUGAUCACAAGUCUGUGCCAAUAAAAUAAAUGGUCAUUUAAUACUUUUA
Molecule: long non-coding RNA, 1213 nt
Filed under: Homo sapiens (human)
Lineage: Eukaryota; Metazoa; Chordata; Mammalia; Primates; Hominidae
Description: long intergenic non-protein coding RNA 1206
Source: RNAcentral